AUGUCUCAGCACAAGCCUUAAAAUGGUGAAGCCGCGAAUAGCUCCAUUACAACAGUCGUAGUUUAUUAGAAAGUUUCCGACUUGGAUAACUGUGGUAAUUUCCAGAGCUAAUACAUGUUCCAAGCCCUGACUUCGGAAAGGGUGCAUUUAUUAGAACAAGGCCAAUCAGACUUCGGUCUGUCUCAGGUUGACUCUGAAUAACUUUGCUAAUCGCACAGUCUCUGUACUGGCGAUGUAUCUUUCAAAUGUCUGCCUUAUCAACUGUUGAUGGUAGAUUAUGCGCCUACCAUGGUUAUAACGGGUAACGGAGAAUCAGGGUUUGAUUCCGGAGAGGGAGCCUGAGAAACAGCUACCACAUCCAAGGAAGGCAGCAGGCACGCAAAUUACCCACUCCCGGCUCGGGGAGGUAGUGACGAAAAAUAACGAGACGGUGCUCUAUGAGUAUCGUCAUCGGAAUGAGUACAAUCUAAAUACUUUAACGAGUAUCUAUUGGAGGGCAAGUCUGGUGCCAGCAGCCGCGGUAAUUCCAGCUCCAAUAGCGUAUAUUAAAGUUGUUGCGGUUAAAAAGCUCGUAGUUGGAUCUGAGACUGCGGACGACGGUCCCCGUCAUGGGUUGUACUGUCCGUUCCGGUCUAAUCUGUUGGUUUGUGUGCGGUGCUCUUUAUUGGGUGUCGUAUGCUGCCAGCUAUUUUACUUUGAAAAAAUUAGAGUGCUCAAAGCAGGCGCUUGCUCGAAUAUUGGUGCAUGGAAUAAUGGAAUAGGGCCUUGGCUCUAUUUUGUUGGUCUAUGAGUACGAGGCAAUGAUUAGGAGAAACAGACGGGGGCAUUUGUAUUGCGACGUUAGAGGUGAAAUUCUUGGAUCGUCGCAAGACAAACAACUGCGAAAGCAUUUGCCAAGAAUGUUUUCAUUAAUCAAGAACGAAAGUUAGAGGUUCGAAGGCGAUCAGAUACCGCCCUAGUUCUAACCGUAAACGAUGCCAACUAGCGAUUCGCAGAAGUUAGUUAAACGACUCUGCGAGCAGCUUCCGGGAAACCAAAGUGUUUGGGUUCCGGGGGAAGUAUGGUUGCAAAGCUGAAACUUAAAGGAAUUGACGGAAGGGCACCACCAGGAGUGGAGCCUGCGGCUUAAUUUGACUCAACGCGGGAAAACUCACCCGGCCCGGACACUAUAAGGAUUGACAGACUAAAAGCUCUUUCUUGAUUUGGUGGAUGGUGGUGCAUGGCCGUUCUUAGUUGGUGGAGUGAUUUGUCUGGUUAAUUCCGAUAACGAACGAGACUCUAUCCUGCUAAAUAGACUGGAGGUUUUGUUGCUUCCAGAGCUUCUUAGAGGGACUAGUGACGUUUAGUCACGUGAAGGAGAGCAAUAACAGGUCUGUGAUGCCCUUAGAUGUUCGGGGCCGCACGCGCGCUACAAUGAACAAGGCAGAAAGUUUGAACUCCUUCUCCGAAGUGAGAGGGUAACCUGCAAACUUGUUCGUGAUUGGGACAGGGAAUUGUAAUUAUUUCCCUUGAACGAGGAAUUCCUAGUAGGUUCAGCUCAACACGCUGAGCCGAUUACGUCCCUGCCCUUUGUACACACCGCCCGUCGCUACUACCGAUUGAGCGACUAAGUGAGGGUUUUGGAGCCUUGGUGUUGACUUUCGUCUCGCUGAGGUGAAGACUCCCAAACUUCGCCGCUUAGAGGAAGU
This 1688-nucleotide ribosomal RNA is filed under the name Halalaimus sp. 1034. Its description in RNAcentral is "SSU rRNA". It matches the Rfam family "Eukaryotic small subunit ribosomal RNA". Lineage: Eukaryota; Metazoa; Nematoda; Enoplea; Enoplida; Oxystominidae. The record is from RNAcentral.